This 173-nucleotide long non-coding RNA is filed under the name Ictidomys tridecemlineatus (thirteen-lined ground squirrel). Its description in RNAcentral is "lncRNA (ENSSTOG00000031394.1)". Lineage: Eukaryota; Metazoa; Chordata; Mammalia; Rodentia; Sciuridae. The record is from RNAcentral.
CUGUUUGAUGACACCGGUGCUCGUGCAUCCAUGUGGCUCUGUGACUUGAUCAUCCUGAUGCGACUAGGAACCGAGGGCAAGAGAAAACAGAUUGCUUGGUCCAAUGUCUACCUCCAGAGUCAAGAGAAAACCUCGAGGACUGAAAGUGAGGCAAAUCUACUGCCCAAAACUUG